Dicentrarchus labrax (European seabass) is the source of this 763-nucleotide long non-coding RNA. RefSeq lists it as uncharacterized. The transcript has 4 exons. NCBI's taxonomy places the organism in Eukaryota, Metazoa, Chordata, Actinopteri, Moronidae. The record is from RefSeq and is a predicted model, not a curated record.
GAGGUAGAAAGCAGUAGAGAGCAGAAGAGAGAGGUAGAGAGAGGUAGAGAGUAGUAGAGAGUGGUAGAGAGAGGUAGAGAGAGGUAGAGAGUGGUAGAGAGAGGUAGAGAGAGGUAGAGAGUAGUAGAGAGAGGUAGAGAGUAGUAAAGAGAGGUAGAGAGAGGUAGAGAGUAGUAAAGAGAGGUAGAGAGUAGUAGAGAGAGGUAGAGAGAGGUAGAGAGUAGUAGAGAGAGGUAGAGAGCGGUAGAGAGAGGUAGAGAGUAGUAGAGAGAGGUAGAGAGAGGUAGAGAGUAGUAGAGAGAGGUAGAGAGAGGUAGAGAGAGGUAGAGAGUAGUAGAGAGAGGUAGAGAGAGGUAGAGAGUAGUAGAGAGAGGUAGAGAGAGGUAGAGAGAGGUAGAGAGUGGUAGAGAGAGGUAGAGAGAGGUAGAGAGUAGUAGAGAGAGGUAGAGAGUAGUAAAGAGAGGUAGAGAGAGGUAGAGAGUAGUAAAGAGAGGUAGAGAGUAUUAGAGAGAGGUAGAGAGAGGUAGAGAGUAGUAGAGAGAGGUAGAGAGCGGUAGAGAGCAGUAGAGAGAGGUAGAGAGAGGUAGAGAGUAGUAGAGAGAGGUAGAGAGCGGUAGAGAGAGGUAGAGAGUAGUAGAGAGAGGUAGAGAGAGGUAGAGAGUAGUAGAGAGUGGUAGAGAGAGAUAGAGAGAGGUAGAGAGUAGUAGAGAGUGGUAGAGAGUGGUAGAGAGUGGUAGAGAGAGGUAGAGAGAGGUAGAGAGAG